This 736-nucleotide ribosomal RNA is filed under the name Priestia flexa. Its description in RNAcentral is "bacterial SSU rRNA". It matches the Rfam family "Bacterial small subunit ribosomal RNA", at positions 34 to 750 of the family's 1533-position model. Lineage: Bacteria; Bacillati; Bacillota; Bacilli; Caryophanales; Bacillaceae. The record is from RNAcentral.
CGGGCCAGGCGGGAUGCCUAUACAUGCAGUCGAGCGAACUGAUUAGAAGCUUGCUUCUAUGACGUUAGCGGCGGACGGGUGAGUAACACGUGGGCAACCUGCCUGUAAGACUGGGAUAACUCCGGGAAACCGGAGCUAAUACCGGAUAACAUUUUCUCUUGCAUAAGAGAAAAUUGAAAGAUGGUUUCGGCUAUCACUUACAGAUGGGCCCGCGGUGCAUUAGCUAGUUGGUGAGGUAACGGCUCACCAAGGCAACGAUGCAUAGCCGACCUGAGAGGGUGAUCGGCCACACUGGGACUGAGACACGGCCCAGACUCCUACGGGAGGCAGCAGUAGGGAAUCUUCCGCAAUGGACGAAAGUCUGACGGAGCAACGCCGCGUGAGUGAUGAAGGCUUUCGGGUCGUAAAACUCUGUUGUUAGGGAAGAACAAGUACAAGAGUAACUGCUUGUACCUUGACGGUACCUAACCAGAAAGCCACGGCUAACUACGUGCCAGCAGCCGCGGUAAUACGUAGGUGGCAAGCGUUAUCCGGAAUUAUUGGGCGUAAAGCGCGCGCAGGCGGUUUCUUAAGUCUGAUGUGAAAGCCCACGGCUCAACCGUGGAGGGUCAUUGGAAACUGGGGAACUUGAGUGCAGAAAAGAAAAGCGGAAUUCCACGUGUAGCGGUGAAAUGCGUAGAGAUGUGGAGGAACACCAGUGGCGAAGGCGGCUUUUUGGUCUGUAACUGACGCUGAG